GCGGGCGUCGUAUAAUGGUUAUUACCUUAGACUUCCAAUCUAAAGAUGACGGUUCGAUUCCGUUCGCCCGCUCCA
RNAcentral lists this transfer RNA (75 nucleotides) under Brachyspira hyodysenteriae. RNAcentral's name for it is "tRNA-Gly". It matches the Rfam family "tRNA". Rfam says of the family: Transfer RNA (tRNA) molecules are approximately 80 nucleotides in length. Their secondary structure includes four short double-helical elements and three loops (D, anti-codon, and T loops). RNAcentral also lists the same sequence under 14 other names. Lineage: Bacteria; Pseudomonadati; Spirochaetota; Spirochaetia; Brachyspirales; Brachyspiraceae. The record is from RNAcentral.